CACAGGUGCUGCAUGGCUGUCGUCAGCUCGUGUCGUGAGAUGUUGGGUUAAGUCCCGCAACGAGCGCAACCCUUACUUUUAGUUGCCACCAUUUAGUUGAGCACUCUGAAAGAACUGCCAGUGAUAAGCUGGAGGAAGGUGGGGACGACGUCAAGUCCUCAUGGCCCUUACGUGUUGGGCUACACACGUGCUACAAUGGCACUCACAAUAGGAAGCAAAGAGGUGACUCUAAGCAAAUCCUAAAAAAGUGCCUCAGUUCGGAUUGUACUCUGCAACUCGAGUACAUGAAGCUGGAAUUGCUAGUAAUCGCGGAUCAGCGCGCCGCGGUGAAUACGUUCCCGGG
This 343-nucleotide ribosomal RNA is filed under the name uncultured Pelagibacterales bacterium. RNAcentral describes it as "bacterial SSU rRNA". It matches the Rfam family "Bacterial small subunit ribosomal RNA", at positions 1033 to 1378 of the family's 1533-position model. Lineage: Bacteria; Pseudomonadati; Pseudomonadota; Alphaproteobacteria; Candidatus Pelagibacterales. The record is from RNAcentral.